Molecule: long non-coding RNA, 465 nt
Organism: Cydia pomonella (codling moth)
Lineage: Eukaryota; Metazoa; Arthropoda; Insecta; Lepidoptera; Tortricidae
Exons: 2
Source: RefSeq, a predicted model, not a curated record
GGCACAUACGGGUAUUUAAUCGAUCUACGCGGCCAAAAGUCGAUUUAACAAAAUGUAUGACAGGUAAACGAAACAAUUAUCCUUAUCAAGGUGAUUAGUCUAGGGUCUAAAAUUACCCCCUCCAAACCGCAUUCCACGGAUCCCGAUAACACACUAUCAGUCGGAAUUCGAUCGUCCCGUUCGGUGUACGUGUCUGUUCUCGGCGUUCGUGUGCAAAUAUAAACUAUUAACUUAAUAUUUGUGAAACCAAGUUAAAUUGCGAAAAGAAAGUGAUGGAUCCAGUUACAGCAGGUAUAUUAAAUAGAUUGCUGCUCAGCUCGGAUCCCCUCUUAAACAGCAUGAAGAACGCAAGAAAAAGCAACCUGAAAAGUUUCCUGCCUGAAGCAAUCGCUAUGUUCAUUGCUGCGACACCAAAUCCUCAAGAUGAAUGUUCUUAAAUGUAAAUAAAAUGUUUUUUUACACAAA